RNAcentral lists this small nucleolar RNA (313 nucleotides) under Eremothecium cymbalariae DBVPG#7215. RNAcentral's name for it is "Fungal small nucleolar RNA U3". It matches the Rfam family "Fungal small nucleolar RNA U3". Rfam says of the family: Small nucleolar RNAs (snoRNAs) are involved in the processing and modification of rRNA in the nucleolus. There are two main classes of snoRNAs: the box C/D class, and the box H/ACA class. The record is from Rfam by way of RNAcentral. Lineage: Eukaryota; Fungi; Ascomycota; Saccharomycetes; Saccharomycetales; Saccharomycetaceae.
GUCGACGUACUUCAUAGGAUCAUUUCUAUAGGAAUCGUCACUCUUUGACUCUUCAAAAGAGCCACUGAAUCCAACUUGGUUGAUGAGCAUCAGAGCCUUUGCACCCAAGAGUGAGAACAUUGAUUGUUACAUUAGCUUGGUCCACAACCCUAAGCGGUUUGGCUAUCUACUUACAGUUUUUGCUUUGCCUUUGCAUCUGUACCGUGGUCUUUGAUUACUGGUACUUUAAAGGCGCGAUGAUCUUGGCCCGGAUUGUGCACUUCUUCGUGAAGGGACAAUAUUUCGGGCGGGAGCGAAUGGCAGUCUGACAAGU